UACGUAGGGUCCAAGCGUUGUCCGGAUUUAUUGGGCGUAAAGAGCUCGUAGGCGGUUCGGUAAGUCGGGUGUGAAACCUCCAGGCUCAACCUGGAGUCGCCACUCGAUACUGCUGUGACUAGAGUCCGGUAGGGGAGCGUGGAAUUCCUGGUGUAGCGGUGAAAUGCGCAGAUAUCAGGAGGAACACCAGCGGCGAAGGCGGCGCUCUGGGCCGGAACUGACGCUGAGGAGCGAAAGCGUGGGUAGCAAACAGG
Molecule: ribosomal RNA, 254 nt
Filed under: uncultured bacterium
Lineage: Bacteria
Description: partial 16S ribosomal RNA
Rfam family: Bacterial small subunit ribosomal RNA
Source: RNAcentral